AGAUAGCAUGCAUGUCUAGUAUGACCGAUCCUUACUGCGAGACUGCUCAGGGCUCAGUACAUCAGUUAGAGUUUAUUCUGAUACUAUCUUUUUACUACUUGAAUAACCGUACUAGAUCUACAGCUAAUACGUGCUGAUAGGACUACCUGGGGGUAUUACUCUACAAAGUCUGUAUUUAUUAAAUAUAAUACCCCUGCUGAAUACUUUUUUUUUGAUGAACAAAAAUUCAGGUUUUACUUUCAUUUUUUUGAAGAAAAUGAUGACACAUUUCAUGGAGAUUCAUACUACCUUUGCUAAUGCCACUGGCCUUGAGCCGACUAUGAUUCUAUCAAAUUGCUGCCCUAGCAACUUUCUAUGGAACCAUAGACGCCUACCAUGGUUGUAACGGUCGACGCAGAAUUAGGGUUCGAUUCCGGAGAGGGAUCCUGACAGAUGGCUACCACUUCCCAGGAAGGCCGCAGGCGCGCAAAUUACCCAAUCCUGACCCACGAAGGUAGUGACUCUAACUACCGAUCCCCUUCUUGUUAAGAGUAUUGUAUGUUGCAAUGAGUACAAUUUAAACCCCUUAACGAGGAACAAUU
Molecule: ribosomal RNA, 581 nt
Filed under: uncultured eukaryote
Lineage: Eukaryota
Description: bacterial SSU rRNA
Rfam family: Eukaryotic small subunit ribosomal RNA
Source: RNAcentral